This 570-nucleotide small RNA is filed under the name Pan troglodytes (chimpanzee). RNAcentral's name for it is "retained intron". Lineage: Eukaryota; Metazoa; Chordata; Mammalia; Primates; Hominidae. The record is from RNAcentral.
ACACGCUCGCAGUCUGUGGGCCCUCCGGGAGGCGGCGGAGGUCACCGCGGGGAGAGGGGCGGGGGCAGCAUGGCAGCCUCCUUACGGCUCCUCGGAGCUGCCUCCGGUCUCCGGUACUGGAGCCGGCGGCUGCGGCCGGCAGCCGGCAGCUUUGCAGCGGUGUGUUCUAGGUCAGUGGCUUCAAAGACUCCAGUUGGAUUCAUUGGACUGGGCAACAUGGGGAAUCCAAUGGCAAAAAAUCUCAUGAAACAUGGCUAUCCACUUAUUAUUUAUGAUGUGUUCCCUGAUGCCUGCAAAGAGUUUCAAGAUGCAGGUGAACAGGUAAGACCUUUUCUUUAGAUUUGUUUUAGAUUUUGAGAAUGAAAAAUGAAUAUACAUUCAAAUAAGUGACAGCUUCUUAGAAGUAUACCCAAUGGAGUUGUAAACCUAAUUCAUUGUUAAUUUUAUAUAUAUGUAAUCAUUCAUCCAACAUCCAGAUUUGCAGUAAAGGAGAGUUCUCGUCAGACAUUCAGGGGUAUCUAUUCUUUGGCAGGUGACUUGGAACAUUUUGCACGUUUGGUCAGAGGGCCU